Molecule: long non-coding RNA, 942 nt
Organism: Macrobrachium nipponense
Lineage: Eukaryota; Metazoa; Arthropoda; Malacostraca; Decapoda; Palaemonidae
Exons: 3
Source: RefSeq, a predicted model, not a curated record
AGCUGAGAAGGGUCGUUCGCUCGCCGUACCGUACCCGUACGAAAUCGCCUAAGUUGCCAGUGAUCUCUUUCCCGCCAGUCACACUUUACCUCUCUCUCUCUGUCUCUGUAGCUAUUACCGGCUAGUAGCUUUUCGUUCAGCGCGUGGAUAUGGUCACGGAGCUGCAAGCGAUAGCAAGUUUCAACUUCCGUCUAAGGUCCAGGUCAAAGUUCAGUGCCUCGAGGGAGAGAUUUGUCCACUGAUUAAGCCGCUAUACACACACUGAAGAUGAAUUUCGGUAUGUCGAAAGGCAGGUCCAUAUUAUGGAUCUCUGGAAUGGUCCUCCUGAUAGCCACUAUGACUAUGAUGGGCAGAACCAACGGGUUUAUGUUCGGGCGCGGGUAUUCUUAUACCCGCUUCUGCAGGUUCCUCGUAAGGAGGCCUCAUUUACUGGCAAGGUUACACGGCCUCAUGUCGUACUACUACAAGCAUUGCUAUGGCUCCUAUAAUUCCUUCCUCGGGAAAUAGAAAACGGAAGAGGGAACGGAAAACGGGAAACUCGAAGAAACUCUACGGGGACAGAACGCCACGGAUCGCAAUAACUUUUUAAGUAUAGUAUCAGCGUCGAGUAAAAAUAAUUAAGUGAGUGUCGAUGGACGAAUGCAGUCAAUGUUAAGAUGGUAAAGCUUUAAGAGAGAGAGAGAGAGAGAGAGAGAGAGAGAGAGAGAGAGAGAGAGUAACGACAUCUGUACUGAUAACAUUUAAUUCCUGCAAUAUGCACUACGAUUACUUGGUCACAAUAAUACUUACAGGGCUACAACUUAGAUUAGUCAAAACAACAAAGCACCAAUAAGAUGACCAGUUGAAACAACAACAGAAACAACAGUAGGCGCAACAACAUCAACGCUACUAGUGUUUGACCACACUGUAAUUGUUCUGUGUCCCUAUGUAAGCCACGUUCAA